UACGGAAGGCAGCAGUGGGGAAUAUUGCACAAUGGGCGCAAGCCUGAUGCAGCCAUGCCGCGUGUAUGAAGAAGGCCUUCGGGUUGUAAAGUACUUUCAGCGGGGAAGGAAGGCGAUGUGGUUAAUAACCGCAUCGAUUGACGUUACCCGCAGAAGAAGCACCGGCUAACUCCGUGCCAGCAGCCGCGGUAAUACGGAGGGUGCAAGCGUUAAUCGGAAUUACUGGGUCGUAAAGCGCACGCAGGCGGUCUGUCAAGUCGGAUGUGAAAUCCCCGGGCUUAAACCUGGGAACUGCAUUCGAAACUGGCAGGCUAGAGUCUUGGUAGAGGGGGUAGAAUUCCAGGUGUAGCGGUGAAAUGCGUAGAGAUCUGGAGGAAUACCGGUGGCGAAAGGCGGGCCCCCUGGGACAAAGACUGACGGCUCAGGUGCGAAAAGCGUGGGGACGCGAAACAGGAUUAGGAUAACC
RNAcentral lists this ribosomal RNA (466 nucleotides) under uncultured bacterium. RNAcentral describes it as "bacterial SSU rRNA". It matches the Rfam family "Bacterial small subunit ribosomal RNA", at positions 340 to 787 of the family's 1533-position model. The record is from RNAcentral.